RNAcentral lists this ribosomal RNA (253 nucleotides) under uncultured soil bacterium. RNAcentral's name for it is "partial 16S ribosomal RNA". It matches the Rfam family "Bacterial small subunit ribosomal RNA", at positions 26 to 280 of the family's 1533-position model. The record is from RNAcentral.
AGGAUGAACGCUGGCGGCGUGCUUAACACAUGCAAGUCGAACGAUGAUGCCCACUUGUGGGUGGAUUAGUGGCGAACGGGUGAGUAACACGUGAGUAACCUGCCCUUAACUCUGGGAUAAGCCUGGGAAACUGGGUCUAAUACCGGAUAUGACUCCUCAUCGCAUGGUGGGGGGUGAAAGCUUUAUUGUGGUUUUGGAUGGACUCGCGGCCUAUCAGCUUGUUGGUGAGGUAAUGGCUCACCAAGGCGACGAC